This 371-nucleotide ribosomal RNA is filed under the name uncultured organism. RNAcentral describes it as "partial 16S ribosomal RNA". It matches the Rfam family "Bacterial small subunit ribosomal RNA", at positions 527 to 896 of the family's 1533-position model. The record is from RNAcentral.
GUAGGUGGCAAGCGUUGUCCGGAAUUAUGGGCGUAAAGCGCGCGCAGGCGGGUUUUUAAGUCUGAUGUGAAAGCCCACGGGCUCAACCGUGGAGGGUCAUUGGAAACUGGAGAACUUGAGUACAGAAGAGGAAAGCGGAAUUCCACGUGUAGCGGUGAAAUGCGUAGAGAUGUGGAGGAACACCAGUGGCGAAGGCGGCUUUCUGGUCUGUAACUGACGCUGAGGCGCGAAAGCGUGGGGAGCAAACAGGAUUAGAUACCCUGGUAGUCCACGCCGUAAACGAUGAGUGCUAAGUGUUAGGGGGUUUCCGCCCCUUAGUGCUGCAGCUAACGCAUUAAGCACUCCGCCUGGGGAGUACGGCCGCAAGGCUG